RNAcentral lists this long non-coding RNA (208 nucleotides) under Brassica napus (rape). Its description in RNAcentral is "long non-coding RNA (BNAP_LNC010850)". Lineage: Eukaryota; Viridiplantae; Streptophyta; Magnoliopsida; Brassicales; Brassicaceae. The record is from RNAcentral.
CCCGGGUUGGAGAUUCAUAUGGAUCCGGUAGGGAAUAGGUGGCUUAGGGUGAGUGGGUUGAGUCUGUCGCCUGUCGCCUGUGAAGCCUUUAUGUCUCUAUUGGUGAUGUUGUUUUCUCUCAGGUUUUUGUUUGUAAGUUUACAAUUUGGUCUAGGGUGUUGUUGUGUUGGUCUUUUGUUGUGUUUGUGUGUCUCUUUAUUUAGAGUUU